CCCGUAACCCAGCAGUCCAAGUAGCAGCCGUAAUUAUUGGGUCUAAAACAUUCGUAGCUGGUUUAGCAAGUUUCCUGUGAAAUGUUAUCUCUCAAGGAUAAUGCAUGCAGGAAAUACUGUUGGGCUUGAGACCGGGAGACGUAAUGAGUACAGUUAAGGUAGUAGUAAAAUACUUUAAUCUUGACUGGACUUACAAUGGCGAAGGCACGUUGCGAGAACGGAUCUGACGGUAAGGAAUGAAGGCUAGGGGCGCAAAACGGAUUAGAUACCCGUGUAGUCCUAGCUGUAAACACUGCGUACUAAACUUUGUGAUCUCCUCGAGAGAUUGCAGAGCUGUAGCGAAGGCGUAGAGUACGCUACCUGGGGAGUAUAGCCGCAAGGCCGAAACUUAAAGGAAUUGGCGGUGGAGCAC
Molecule: ribosomal RNA, 412 nt
Filed under: uncultured euryarchaeote
Lineage: Archaea; Methanobacteriati; Methanobacteriota
Description: bacterial SSU rRNA
Rfam family: Archaeal small subunit ribosomal RNA
Source: RNAcentral